GGCUGCAGUCGAAGUCUCUCCAACGCAUCGUCACAGACAUAGAAGAUUGAGGCCACCGCCUCGCCGAGGUUUUCGAAGACAACGCCAAUGCUACCGUCAACUGCAACCUCAUCGGCGACAAACUCUGAUAUUGUUUGCGACUUUUUCACUUCUUGGCUUGCGUUCAACUUGUCGAUUCAGAACCCUAAUUAAACAAAUAUUCAGGUUGGUUCAGGCGGAGCUAGUGACAAGUGUAACAACAGCAGAAAUGGACGAAGUUGUCAACAAGUGUCAAGACAAAGAAUCUAUGAUGGAAGGCUCGUUCGUAUUAAGCACUAUAGGAGACGAUCUUCAAAGCCUCCUGAUAUU
Dermacentor albipictus is the source of this 348-nucleotide long non-coding RNA. RefSeq lists it as uncharacterized. The record is from RefSeq and is a predicted model, not a curated record. Lineage: Eukaryota; Metazoa; Arthropoda; Arachnida; Ixodida; Ixodidae.